RNAcentral lists this ribosomal RNA (492 nucleotides) under uncultured bacterium. Its description in RNAcentral is "partial 16S ribosomal RNA". It matches the Rfam family "Bacterial small subunit ribosomal RNA", at positions 29 to 507 of the family's 1533-position model. The record is from RNAcentral.
AGUGAACGCUGGCGGUAGGCCUAACACAUGCAAGUCGAACGGCAGCACAGUAAGAGCUUGCUCUUACGGGUGGCGAGUGGCGGACGGGUGAGGAAUACAUCGGAAUCUACUUUUUCGUGGGGGAUAACGUAGGGAAACUUACGCUAAUACCGCAUACGACCUACGGGUGAAAGCAGGGGAUCUUCGGACCUUGCGCGAUUGAAUGAGCCGAUGUCGGAUUAGCUAGUUGGCGGGGUAAAGGCCCACCAAGGCGACGAUCCGUAGCUGGUCUGAGAGGAUGAUAAGCCACACUGGAACUGAGACACGGUCCAGACUCCUACGGGAGGCAGCAGUGGGGAAUAUUGGACAAUGGGCGCAAGCCUGAUCCAGCCAUACCGAGUGGGUGAAGAAGGACUUCGGGUUGUAAAGCCCUUUUGUUGGGAAAGAAAAGCAGCAGGUUAAUACCCCGCUGUUCUGACGGUACCCAAAGAAUAAGCACCGGCUAACUUCGUG